RNAcentral lists this ribosomal RNA (309 nucleotides) under uncultured archaeon. Its description in RNAcentral is "bacterial SSU rRNA". It matches the Rfam family "Archaeal small subunit ribosomal RNA", at positions 526 to 834 of the family's 1478-position model. The record is from RNAcentral.
UGGCCGCGUAGGUCCGUCGGGAAAUCUACUGGCUUAACCAGUAGGCGUCCGGCGGAAACCCCGUGGCUUGGGACCGGGAGACCUGAGGGGUACGUCCGGGGUAGGAGUGAAAUCCCGUAAUCCUGGACGGACCACCGGUGGCGAAAGCGCCUCAGGAGAACGGAUCCGACAGUGAGGGACGAAAGCUAGGGUCUCGAACCGGAUUAGAUACCCGGGUAGUCCUAGCCGUAAACGAUGCUCGUUAGGUGUGGCGCAGGCUACGAGCCUGCGCUGUGCCGUAGGGAAGCCGUGAAACGAGCCGCCUGGGAA